RNAcentral lists this transfer RNA (76 nucleotides) under bacterium. RNAcentral describes it as "tRNA-Ala". It matches the Rfam family "tRNA". From Rfam's summary of the family: Transfer RNA (tRNA) molecules are approximately 80 nucleotides in length. Their secondary structure includes four short double-helical elements and three loops (D, anti-codon, and T loops). Further hydrogen bonds mediate the characteristic L-shaped molecular structure. tRNAs have two regions of fundamental functional importance: the anti-codon, which is responsible for specific mRNA codon recognition, and the 3' end, to which the tRNAs corresponding amino acid is attached (by aminoacyl-tRNA synthetases). tRNAs cope with the degeneracy of the genetic code in two manners: having more than one tRNA (with a specific anti-codon) for a particular amino acid; and 'wobble' base-pairing, i.e. permitting non-standard base-pairing at the 3rd anti-codon position. The record is from RNAcentral. RNAcentral also lists the same sequence under 4 other names.
GGGGGAUUAGCUCAGUUGGGAGAGCGCCGCGCUGGCAGCGCGGAGGUCAAGGGUUCAAAUCCCUUAUCCUCCACCC